RNAcentral lists this ribosomal RNA (692 nucleotides) under Peritromus sp. SUAS-2014. RNAcentral describes it as "LSU rRNA". It matches the Rfam family "Eukaryotic large subunit ribosomal RNA", at positions 71 to 878 of the family's 3401-position model. The record is from RNAcentral. Lineage: Eukaryota; Ciliophora; Heterotrichea; Heterotrichida; Peritromidae.
AGGAUGCCUCAGUAACGGCGAGUGAACAGGCAACAGCCCAAGUUGAAAAUCUGCGCUAUGCGCCGAAUUGUAAUCUAAGGAGUCUUGCCUUACCUGUUGGUUGCAUGCGUAACUCGGAAGGAAAGCCGGGCCGUAGAGGGUGUUAGCCCCGUACCGCGUGCGACCUUGGAUAGGCUGGUCUUUAAGAGUCGGGUAGCUUGGGAUUGCUGCCCUAAGUGGGAGGUAGGCUUCUUCUAAGGCUAAAUACUAACGAGAGACCGAUAGUGAACAAGUACCGUGAGGGAAAGAUGAAAAGAACUUUGAAAAGAGGGUUAAAAGACUUGAAAUCGUUGAGGAGGAAGCAGUAGGUAGAUAUCAGCGCAACAGUGUAACUAGUUUUACGAAACUGGGGGAGCUGCGCGCGAGGCAACGUCAUGGGGAUUCGCUGCGUAGUGUUCUCUUUGAGUUCGCGAUCUAGCGAUGAAAACGUGACUUUGUGCGUCUGCCCACUGGCCCGUCUUGAAACACGGACCAAGGAGUCUAACAUGUAUGCGAGUAGAGGAGCGACAAACUCCACUGCGCAACGAAAGUAAUCCUUGCCAAAUUUGCAGCGAGGGCCUCGUCAGAGAGCUCAGCAUGUAUGUUGGGACCCGAAAGAUGGUGAACUAUGCUUGGGGAAGGCGAAGCCAGGGGAAACUCUGGUGGAGGCUUGU